CACGUAGUUCUCCCGGGGCAGGUGCAUCGUCGCGCCCUCAAAGUGCAGCACCAGCUUCGGCACGUGCGGCGCCUUCCCCAGCGGCGGCGCCGAGAAGCAGAGUAAGGGACCCGUCUCGUUGCUGGGCACCACGGGAAGCUUCACGUGUGCGGCGAACUCGUCAUGGACGAGCCUGUAAACCCGCGGCGGCAGCGAAGUGAAGGCCGUGCCGGAGUCGAUGAUCGUUCCGCCGGUCCCGUUCUUUAGAGCGAACGCGGACUCCGGCACCGGCAGCCUCGUCGACCCGACGGUGAUGCCCUUCAGCGAGAGGUAGUAGAAAGUUGGAUGGGCAGGGUUCUUGAUUAGAGGGGUGGUCUGGACGGUGCCGCGGCCGUUUUUGUAGAGGUCUGCCGGCAGGUCGAACAGGACAGUGCUCGGUUUCCGUCCGGAUACUGCGGUGAAGCAGUGGGAGAAGUUGCCCACUUUGAGCUGCGACGGGAGGGACAGUGGCCCGCGGCCGAAGCCAGCGAUGCCGGUCUCGUUGGAGCGGAAAAUGCCGGUGUUAUUGAGGCCGCAACCGAAGACCACGCCGGGCACGGAGGCGCCGGCGACAAACGAGACCGUCUCCACAUCGAGGAAGCCGAUCGUCGCCGACUUGUCGCCGUACGAGUAGGAGUAGGCGCAGGUCUGGACCGUCUGGUUGACGCACAUAGUCACACUCGGGUCCAGCUUGCACUGCGUGGAGUCGCAGGAAGGCAAGGCGAACGUGGAGGAUCUCGACGCGUCGUAGUAAGGGAGAGACUGGUUGAAGCAUACAGCGCACGGCUGGCACUGCGUCCAGACGAGGACGCUGCCGGUGUCGAGCGUCAGCUGCACGGGCUGCGGCGGCGUGCCGAUGGCCAGGUGCAACAGGUACUCCGUCAUAGGAACGCCGUCGUCGUACGCCCCUGGAGAUACCGGCGCGGUCGCUGAGCUUGAGAGGAGCCGCGGGGCGCGGGCCUUGCUGCGCAGCGCCAUGCGGCGCAUCAGCUCGCGCCCAGACAGGCCGCGGC
This 1031-nucleotide small RNA is filed under the name Oryza sativa Japonica Group (Japanese rice). RNAcentral describes it as "sRNA Os03g0317700". The record is from RNAcentral. Lineage: Eukaryota; Viridiplantae; Streptophyta; Magnoliopsida; Poales; Poaceae.